Molecule: long non-coding RNA, 2398 nt
Organism: Cherax quadricarinatus
Lineage: Eukaryota; Metazoa; Arthropoda; Malacostraca; Decapoda; Parastacidae
Source: RefSeq, a predicted model, not a curated record
UACCCACAGCAUUGUUUUGCAUAGCAAAUACUCUUUGAUUGUUCUCUCUCACCCUUCCUCCUCUUCCUGUCUCUCUUCUCUUUGUAGUUCUCUGCUCCAUCCUCCUCCUCUUUAUCAGUAUUCUCUUCCCCUACUCUUCCCACUUCCCAUCAUUAUUCGUAAUUACUAUACCCUAAUCUUUCUCUUUAGUUAUGAUACGGCUCUUCUUUCUCUCUCUCUCUCUCUCUCUCUCUCUCUCUCUCCCUGCUAAGGACAUCAAGAACUCUCCAUCCUUCUAAGGACAAGGACUCUGCAUCUGCUAAGGACUCCAAUUUAAUUAUAACUUAAGGGAAGCCUUAAAUUCGUAGGGGGUCAUGUAGCACUCUGAGUAUUAAGAGGCAAAUCAGGUUCUACCCGAAAGAUGACAGAUCUAGUUCCUCAGAUCAAGAGCCCUCACAAGCAUCAAGGAACCUCCCUUGAGGAGUAUGUGAAGCUGAAGGGAUACAUCUUUCAUGUAUUGUGGUACAUGUGACUGGGGAUACAUCUCUGGAUCACAGCGAGUUAGACACACCUGAUAUUCUGUGUGGCUCUCCACUUGGUCGGUCACUUGUAAAAAGCUGCUUUGCCUUGGUGGUGAGUACUUUACCAAGUCCUCCAGGAUAUUAAUUAUAAUUAUACUUUGUGUGUAUGACACACACACACACACACACACACUCACACACACACACACACACACACACACACACACACACACACACACACACACACACAGAGUAGUCAGUAAGUGGAAUAGUUUGGGAAGCGAUGUAGUGGAGGCAGGAUCCAUACAUAGCUUUAAGCAGAGGUAUGAUAAAGCUCACGGCUCAGGGAGAGUGACCUAGUAGCGAUCAGUGAAGAGGCGGGGCCAGGAGCUCGGUCUCGACCCCCGCAACCUCAACUAGGUGAGUACAACUAGGUGAGUACACACACACACAUACACACAAAACACACACACACACACACACACACACACACACACACACACACACACACACACACACACACACACACACACACACACACACACACACACACACACACACAAAACACACACACACAUACACAGACACACAAUGAAAAGAUACGACAGAGCACUUGGAGCCGGGGGAGAGUUGACCUAGUAGCGAUCAGCGAAGAGUUGGGGCCAGGAGCUGUGAACAGACCCCUACAACCACAAAGAGGUGAGUACACACAAACACACAUAUAACCUUAAGUUUCAAAAUUAGGGAAAUCCACUCGUAAUAACCUUCACAGCAGUAACUAACAUCUCCAGUUGUCACAUUAUAUAUUAAUAUAACCCACUCUAAACAACAUAUAAUUAAUCACACACAACCCGCAUGACGUUAAACCCAACACACAACUAUGUUAACUAAGCAAGCUGGAAAAAAAACAGAGAAUAACCCAGUGUCACCACACAACUUGACAGGAUCAAGACACCUAGACACGGAAAUUUGCUCACCAAAAAUAUUGCAACCUCCCAGAGCCUUAGCUUACGUGUCUCAAACAUAUACGUGUAUAUAUACUGUGCAACCAAAGCUUAAUCUUUCAUACGAGUAAGUCUGGCGUCAGGUGAUAUUCCCUGAGGAAUAUAUACAGAAGAAGAAGAAGGUUAUCAUCACUACCAUCACCCAGGAUAAUAAUGAUGCUGCGUGAUGCUCUGAGUGCUGCUGUGCUGGUUGCUGUGGCGGCGCUGCUGUCAACUGCUGCACCAGCACCGCAAUUUUUAUUUCCUGGUAUCAGCGGUGGGUUGUUCCCCGGAGGUGUUCCAUGUCGUUACUUCAGCAGGAACCCCAUCACUGGUCGUAUUGACGUGUGUACUCAGACACCAGACCAGACCUCUGGCUUCUUCCAACCUCAGUUCCUUCCCAACAACUUCUUUAGCUUUUAGCACCCCAUUCUAACGUGUGUGUACUCGCCUAGUUGUACUUGCCUAGUUGUGGUUGCAGGGGUCGAUUCACAGCUCCUGGCUCCGCCUCUUCACUGGUCACUACUAUGGGUCCAGGGACUGUACCUCAACAUUACAGAGGUACAAAAUAGGUCCAGGGACUGUACGCCAACAUUACAGAGGUACAAAAUGGGUCCAGGGACUGUACGACAUUACAGUGGUACACAAUGGGUCCACGGACUGUACGUCAACAUUACAGAGGUACGCAAUGGGUCCAGGGACUGUACCUCAACAUUACAUAGGUACACAAUGAGUCCAGGGACUGUACCUCAACAUUACAGAGGCACACAAUGGGUCCAGGGACUGUACCUCAACAUUACAGAGGCACACAAUGGGUCCAGGAACUGUACCUCAACAUUACAGAGGCACACAAUGGGUCCAGGGACAUGUACCUCAACAUUACAGAGGCACACAAUGGGUCCAGGGACUGUACCU